RNAcentral lists this ribosomal RNA (497 nucleotides) under uncultured bacterium. RNAcentral describes it as "partial 16S ribosomal RNA". It matches the Rfam family "Bacterial small subunit ribosomal RNA", at positions 28 to 507 of the family's 1533-position model. The record is from RNAcentral.
GAUGAACGCUGGCGGCGUGCCUAAUACAUGCAAGUCGAGCGAACAGACGAGGAGCUUGCUCCUCUGACGUUAGCGGCGGACGGGUGAGUAACACGUGGAUAACCUACCUAUAAGACUGGGAUAACUUCGGGAAACCGGAGCUAAUGCCGGAUAAUAUAUUGAACCGCAUGGUUCAAUAGUGAAAGACGGUUUUGCUGUCACUUAUAGAUGGAUCCGCGCCGCAUUAGCUAGUUGUUAAGGUAACGGCUUACCAAGGCAACGAUGAGUAGCCGACCUGAGAGGGUGAUCGGCCAAACUGGAACUGAGACACGGUCCAGACUCCUACGGGAGGCAGCAGUAGGGAAUCUUCCGCAAAGGGCGAAAGCUUGACGGAGCAACGCGGCGUGAGUGAUGAAGGUCUUCGGAUCGUAAAACUCUGUUAUUAGGGAAGAACAAAUGUGUAAGUAACUAUGCACGUCUUGACGGUACCUAAUCAGAAAGCCACGGCUAACUACGUG